Molecule: long non-coding RNA, 287 nt
Filed under: Nicotiana benthamiana
Lineage: Eukaryota; Viridiplantae; Streptophyta; Magnoliopsida; Solanales; Solanaceae
Description: long non-coding RNA (NBEN_LNC007130)
Source: RNAcentral
ACUUCUGGCCUCGAGCACGGUAACAUGGAAUCCUUGGCGUUUCAGGUGCCGUGCUGCGGUUAGGCCAGCAGGACCAGCACCGACAACAAUUAUUCCUUUUUUCCCUUUUGCAUCACAACAUGUGUUUUGCCUCUGACAACAAUUAUUCUUUUUUUCCCUUUUGCAUCACAACAUGUGUUUUGCCUCUGCCUCCCGAAUGAGUCAGGUGGGAAUCCACAAUUAUCUUCUGAAAUCACAAGAUGUUUAUCGGCUGUUCUACCAUCAAUCUCUGUAUUGUUAGGAGGCGA